GAUGAACGCUGGCGGCGUGCCUAAUACAUGCAAGUCGAGCGAACGGACGAGAAGCUUGCUUUUCUGAUGUUAGCGGCGGACGGGUGAGUAACACGUGGAUAACCUACCUAUAAGACUGGGAUAACUUCGGGAAACCGGAGCUAAUACCGGAUAAUAUUUUGAACCGCAUGGUUCAAAAGUGAAAGACGGUCUUGCUGUCACUUAUAGAUGGAUCCGCGCUGCAUUAGCUAGUUGGUAAGGUAACGGCUUACCAAGGCAACGAUGCAUAGCCGACCUGAGAGGGUGAUCGGCCACCCUGGAACUGAGACACGGUCAAGACUCCUAGGGGAGGCAGCAGGAGGGAAUCUUCCGCAAGGGGCGAAAGCCUGCCGGAGCAACCCCGGGUGAGUGAAGAAGGGCUUCGGAUCGUAAAACUCUGUUUUGAGGGAAAAAAAUAUGUGUAAGUAACGGUGCAAAUUUGGACGGUACCUAAUCAAAAAGCCCCGGCAAACUACGU
RNAcentral lists this ribosomal RNA (496 nucleotides) under uncultured bacterium. RNAcentral's name for it is "partial 16S ribosomal RNA". It matches the Rfam family "Bacterial small subunit ribosomal RNA", at positions 28 to 506 of the family's 1533-position model. The record is from RNAcentral.